This 373-nucleotide long non-coding RNA is filed under the name Nicotiana benthamiana. RNAcentral's name for it is "long non-coding RNA (NBEN_LNC002266)". Lineage: Eukaryota; Viridiplantae; Streptophyta; Magnoliopsida; Solanales; Solanaceae. The record is from RNAcentral.
GAUAUGAUUGUGUAUUAGAAAAAGAUGGAGUUGCAUUAAUUCCCAUUAGAGACCAUAAGCAUAAUUAAUCUAUUUGCACUUGAUAUGUAUCUUGUCUUUUCUUCUAAACGGUAUCCAUCGCAAGAUCUCUUCAGUAGAUAUUGUCUUCAACCACUAUCUUAAAGCGAUUGAAAAUCUAUAUAUGAUAUAUCACCAAUAAUGUUGGUCAUACAUAUUUUAUAUUUGUACUAUUGCAAAGCUACCAAUAUUGUUGGUCAUACAUAUUUUAUAUUUGUCUAGCUUGAGCUUAAGUUAUAUGCACUGUCAGUUUUAAUUGCCUAAAUGUAACACAUAUAUGGUUGGUGAUUCAGCUCUAUAUAUACCCCCAUGAGUA